This 497-nucleotide ribosomal RNA is filed under the name uncultured bacterium. Its description in RNAcentral is "partial 16S ribosomal RNA". It matches the Rfam family "Bacterial small subunit ribosomal RNA", at positions 28 to 507 of the family's 1533-position model. The record is from RNAcentral.
GACGAACGCUGGCGGCGUGCCUAAUACAUGCAAGUUGAGCGCUGAAGGUUGGUACUUGUACCAACUGGAUGAGCAGCGAACGGGUGAGUAACGCGUGGGGAAUCUGCCUUUGAGCGGGGGACAACAUUUGGAAACGAAUGCUAAUACCGCAUAAAAACUUUAAACACAAGUUUUAAGUUUGAAAGAUGCAAUUGCAUCACUCAAAGAUGAUCCCGCGUUGUAUUAGCUAGUUGGUGAGGUAAAGGCUCCCCAAGGCGAUGAUACAUAGCCGACCUGAGAGGGUGGUCGGCCACAUUGGGACUGAGACACGGCCCAAACUCCUACGGGAGGCAGCAGUAGGGAAUCUUCGGCAAUGGACGAAAGUCUGACCGAGCAACGCCGCGUGAGUGAAGAAGGUUUUCGGAUCGUAAAACUCUGUUGGUAGAGAAGAACGUUGGUGAGAGUGGAAAGCUCAUCAAGUGACGGUAACUACCCAGAAAGGGACGGCUAACUACGUG